RNAcentral lists this small RNA (30 nucleotides) under Bombyx mori (domestic silkworm). RNAcentral describes it as "ovarian small RNA-18688". Lineage: Eukaryota; Metazoa; Arthropoda; Insecta; Lepidoptera; Bombycidae. The record is from RNAcentral.
UAACCAAGCAAACGUAUACGACGAUGUAUC